CCCGCCCCCAGGGUUGGUUUUUCCCAGCUGCGGAGGCUGGGCCAGGGGCUGGGGUGCUAGGAGAGUCGGCGCCGGCUGCGCGGAGCCGGGAAGUGGCCGCGACUCCGGUGAGACUCAGAGUUGUCUCUGGAGGUGACCCGCGCGGAGGUCCUGAAGCGGAUCGAGCGCGAGGCGCCAACAAAAGAGGCAAGAGGGUGCCACCGGGGGGCGGCGGCCGGAAGAGGAGCGGGAGGAAGAGCUGAGCCUCCGGACUCGCCGGCAAUCUUCAUGCUCUCACUUUGCUCUCAGCAAGAACACCUGGGAUUCUUCAGCCUUGCCAUGUGUGGAGAACAGCCCAAAAAUAGGCCUGCGAACACUUCCAAGAUGGAUUGCUACUCUUUGCCUGAAGUAAAACAGAACCAGCUUUUAUUCACAUGCAGACUGAAAGGAAGACUCUCAGGUCAGACUGAAUCUCAGCAGAAUGGAAGUAUUUUCCCUCCAACUGUCAUCUCACCCCUUUUUCUCACGUGGUCUAUGGAACUCUUCAGGAGGCCCGGUCACUCCAGAAUUCUAUUCCUUGCAGACAGGAGCUUCUGUUCAGUCCCCAGAGAAUAUAGUUUGGGUAAUUCUUGCCAGCAACAUUCUCUUCAAGUCUGUCACAUGUCUUAUUGCCCAUCUGCAGAAUAAACUUCUGGAGGAAAGCCAGCAACUGACAAAUGGACAAUACAGCAACUGACAAAUGGAACGUUCUCCGAAGCUAAAUGGAAAACUCAUCAAUCAUACCCCCCGGUUGCCGAGUUAUACAUGGUGGAAAUCAUGUUCCGUGUCAAGUCUACCUUGAUAAGUCACACUUGUUCACUAACCCGCACAUCUCUAGCAAUGAACAGAGAAGGUAAAGGAGAAAGAACGACCCCAGGACUAAUUCCUUCAUUUCCUCCAGAUAUGAACUCUUGCUUUCAGAUGUUAAACGGUUGCUAAUUUCUUCCAGUAUUUAACAUGGAUGGUUUCUAGUCAUUAAACAAAAAGAGAAGAUGCCAGUUGAGAUAAAAAUCCCUCGGCACACAUUAAGUACACACAUUUCUGAGCAAACUACAACCAGACUUCAGAUGCCUGAGAAAUAGCACAGGCUGAAUUGAGUCACGGAGAACUAAUCAGUUUUCUGUUGUCCAGCCAAGCUCGUGUUUGUCUAGUUGUUUGCAUAUUCCUUGCCCAAACAGCAACAUCAAAGUAACAAGGAGAUGCCAGAAACUAGCACUACUUUAAAAGAAGACACUGUCUUUAAUUUGCUCACUUAUUAAACAAAUAUUAUGGGAUGCCUAUCAUUUGCCAGAUAUUGUUCUAGGCACUGGGGAUACCACAAUGAGCAAGAGACCUUUCCCCACAAAGAGAAAGGUCCUCUGCUAGUUCAUGAAAUGUCUUAUGAUUCAAAAUGAGAAAAUUAUAGUAAUGAUAAUGAAAUGGGUGAAAUAAUACAUAGUAGAAUAAAUAUGUUUUAAUGGGAGAGGGACUAUGGCCAGAAAGAUAUUUUCUUCAAGCUCUGAAAUAAAGCUUUCUUACAAACAAGUAAAAUUAAAGAAAUCCUAAGUGUGUCAACCUUUGUUUUAAUUUUUAUUGUGAAGAUUGUACCCAGAAGAAAAUGGAAAUGACUUCUAAAUACAUGAGAAUAGAUAAGUAUGAGUGUAGAUGUAUGUGGUGUAUAACUUCCUAUAGGUUUCUCCAGUCCUUUGCAGUUUCUAUUGAACUUUCUCAAAUCCAUUAGGUAAACCAACCAAAAAUGAAAAACUAGAGGCUCUUUCCUUCCUGCCACCCACAAAAUCAGCCCAGA
This 1804-nucleotide long non-coding RNA is filed under the name Suricata suricatta (meerkat). RNAcentral describes it as "lncRNA (ENSSSUG00005005460.1)". Lineage: Eukaryota; Metazoa; Chordata; Mammalia; Carnivora; Herpestidae. The record is from RNAcentral.